UACGAAGGGGGCUAGCGUUGUUCGGAAUUACUGGGCGUAAAGCGCGCGCAGGCGGCUAUCCAAGUCAGUGGUGAAAGCCCGGAGCUCAACUCCGGAACUGCCAUUGAAACUGUUUAGCUUGAGGAUGAGAGAGGUGAGUGGAAUUCCCAGUGUAGAGGUGAAAUUCGUAGAUAUUCGCAAGAACACCAGUGGCGAAGACGGCUCACUGGCCCGGUACUGACGCUGAGGUGCGAAAGCGUGGGGAGCAAACAGG
This 253-nucleotide ribosomal RNA is filed under the name uncultured bacterium. RNAcentral's name for it is "partial 16S ribosomal RNA". It matches the Rfam family "Bacterial small subunit ribosomal RNA", at positions 524 to 776 of the family's 1533-position model. The record is from RNAcentral.